Carassius auratus (goldfish) is the source of this 3695-nucleotide long non-coding RNA. RefSeq lists it as uncharacterized. The transcript has 2 exons. NCBI's taxonomy places the organism in Eukaryota, Metazoa, Chordata, Actinopteri, Cypriniformes, Cyprinidae. The record is from RefSeq and is a predicted model, not a curated record.
UUUUUUUUUUUUAACUAGCGGGGCAGUGAAAUCUUUGCUUUGUUGCUAAAGUCAACAGUGACAGAGUUUGAGCUCAAAUAAAUGCCGCGAGGCUCCCAGCCCUGUGCAGAAGGCAGCGGGAGAGGCUCCGAUACCGUUCUGCAGGCUCCAGAUCUGAACCAAUCAGCAAUCAACUUCACCGUCGUGCCAUGCCCCUUCCUUUGGUAACUGCUGGUUCAACCCUUUCCAUCAGCCACGUUCACCUGCAGCUACCCUCAGUCACGUCUGACCUGGAUGCAUGAGCAAGAUAACAUUCACAUCUGCAACGUCAAGAGAGAGGGGCACAAGGAAGCCUGACAUUAAUGAUUAACUGUGCUAAGAGCCCCUGCUUUUGUAUUCCCAUGGUGCCAGGGCUAUCUGCCGAUCAUGUGACCUGCACCGAGAAGAUUGGGGGAGUGAGCGUAAAAGCAAACACAGGUGUUUGGGCUGGAGUCGGUCGGCGCUGUUAGGGACAACUGCAAACACAGGCUGCCAUGCCUGGAGGCACGAACGACCGCCCACACCAACAGGACAGCCAACCGGAGUCACCGACUCAACUCUGAUGCUCUCAGCCUGCCUUUUCUUUGAACAAUUAAGACUCUUCAUUGGCCUAUUAAAGUCUGCUUUCUGAGUACAGUUUGACCUAAGGAGCUAUGGAUUCUUAAUUAGCCAUCAUAAACAGGCAUAGGCUUAAAUAGAAAUAAACAAAUCCCUUUUUUUAAAUAAAUAAACAUCAUGACUAUUAAUACAGCUUACUAAAUGCAGAAAAAUGUGGUAAAAUUAUUGAACCUCCUAUGAGGUCUCUCAGUGUUUUAAAAAUCCAGUGAAAAUCACACUGUUACUACAGGAAAUUUGUGUGGUUCGUUCAUCUAAAAGUCAACUCACUUUAAGCUAGUUUUGAGCUGAUUGAGAGAGUGGUCGCUUGUCGCUUUAAAUUUAUUUCCAUUGAACUCGUAUUUAAUGCAAUCACAAUUAAACAUUUUAAUCCAUGAAAUACACACCUUUUGUUAAUUUAAAAUGUGUUUAAUGUAAAAUCAUUUAAGAAAAGAGCAUAUUUGAAGUAAACAAUGUAAAUUAAGUUGAAAGAGCACAAAGCUAGUGCAGAGGGACAUUUAGCCACCUGUCUCUGAGUAGUACUGCACAGUACUGCAAGUCAAAAAUAAAAAUAUAAAGUAGGAAAAAGCAGUUAGGGAAUAAUUAUUUAAUAAGUUUAAUUAGUGCACAUGGUUGUUUGCAGGUAUAAAGUGCACAAUAGUUAAUCUAACCAUAAUGAUUAAGAGUUAUAGUAAAGAUGAUGAUAGAGCCAGUAUACCUUUAUUGUCAAUAAUUGCAAAAUAUAUUUAGAGCUCGCAAGUCUCUAAUUGAUAAUAAAUUGCAUUAAAUUUUGUAAUUUGUCGCCUUAAGUGUACUUUCACUGUGAUGCCAUGAAAGAAUCAUUUUGGUUUCCCAAAAAAGCUAUCAGAAAACAGUUCUUAAAAUAAUAUUUAUUUUCUUAGCAUGAUUUUUUAUUAAUUUUUUUUUUCAACUAUAAAGAUGACCAUAGAUAUUAGUAAAGAACCUUUAUUUUUAAGAGUGUAUAUGCAGCAGUGAAUGCUGCAUAAGGGGCCCUGUGAACUCCACUUUACUGGAUGCGACCGUCCCCCAGGUGUAUCAGUGCUCGGGGUGGGGUGACAGAAAAUCUGCCUCUUGUUAGAAAAUGGACAGAUUCUGUUUUGCAUAAAUGUAUAAUAUUAAUAUUUGUCAGUUAGUCAAGCAGCACUUUAAAUAACCAAGAGGGGUAAUGAGGUUUUGACGUGGAAGGGAGUUGGGUGCAAACACACACACACACACACACACACACACACACACACACACACACAAAAAUGUAAGGAAGAAUACAAAAGAGGAAAUGAUUUUUUGACAUUUAUUAGAAAUAUAGCUACUGUAGGUAUUUAAAUUUUAUAUUUCUAUUUCUGUCAAACUGGCUAAGUCUAAGACUCUAUGGAAAAGCAAUAUUUCUAGUCUGAGACAAUAUAUGGAAAAGGGAAAUGAUUCCAUUUUCUAAUUAAAUAUACAUAUUCAUUAUAUAUUAUUUUCAUCUAAAAAAUAUAUUAAAAUAUAAUUAUUACAGUCACAAUUUGGGGCUAACUGAAUGUCAGAAUGUCUAACAGGACAAAAAAAAUCUUCAUAAAACCUGAUACAUGCAAUCCAUCAUGAUUUAGAAUGUUCCAAAAAGUAGGCCUAUUUGAAAUUCACAUAAAUAAAUAAAUAAAUAAAUAAAUAAAUAAAUAAAUAAAUAAAUAAAUAAAUAAAUAAAUAAUAAUAAUAAUAAUAAAAUCCUUUAAGGACUAAAAUAAUACCAGGAACAGAUAUCCAAAUAUAGAUCAAUCUGUACUGUAUUUUGAGGCAGACACAUGCAUCAGAUCACAGCUUUGAAGGAUUUGAAGCAUCAGCUUUGUAGGCAUUGUCUCUCUUCAACAAGAUAUGUGUCCAUUGUGGGCUGAAAGUGAGCUAAUCAAAGUGAGCCGGCAGCAAUAAGCAGCAGAUGAACGGUGCGUUGCUCUGUUGAGUUUUUGAUGUUUCAGACACAAUGCAACGUGAAAAGAGCAAGUAUCCUAAGAAGCUUUUAUUUAUUUAUUUUUUUUUGUCUGGCUCCACACCUAUAAUGAGGUCACACAGCAGCCUGUGUUAAGGCUGUCUGGUGUAUUCAUUCACAUGUUAAAAGAUGCCACCAAUACACAAACUUAGAAAAAUAAGGAAUUUAAGAAGUUUUUUUUUUUUAUUUUUUUUUUUUAUCUGGUGUCAAACUGGAUAUCUGCUACAUCCCAUAACUAAAGAGAGAGCAGGAAGAAAUUCUUCCACUAUGGUCUUCUCAGACAUGAUUUGGGCAGCAAGGGUUCCGGGACGGUUCAAGCGUGUGCACAUGAGUGCACAUGAUGUCUUUUAAUCAAAGGUGGUAAAUGCUUAUUGUCGAGAAGUUCUUAAGGAGUUGAACCAGUGCACUUCUUAUAUUUACCAUGAAGCCUUCACUGGGGAGAGGUGCAGAAUUAAAUAUAACGGCAUUAGACAACAAACAAUGUUGAAUAAGUUUGAAUUAUUCCAGGGGGUGGAAACCAUGUUUGUUUUUGUAAUGUGUCACUGAAUCGCUCCACUUAAAACAAAAAAAAAAAAACCUUUUCCUUUAUGACUGAGAUCAAGACCCUUUACUUUUAUAAAAAUUCCUAAUGCAUUUUUGAUGCCUCUAACACAAUCCUUCAUGUUUACUUUAAGGGUCGGUGCAAAUAGAAAUAACUUCAAGAUGAACACUUACUGGAAUGAAGCAACUUGGGUUUAUUUGAUUAUCCAGACAUUAUCUUUUAGAAAAAUCAUGCUCAAAUAUGAGUCUCAAAUAUAAUAAUCAGGCUUUUGAGGAAAGUUUAUUUGUUCAUCUCUCAAUCAUCAGACUACUGAGCUUCAUUAAACUGAGCAUUUAAAUAUAAUCUAAGCCAUAUUAUUGGGAGAAAUAGAAUGACCUCUGGUGUCUAAAUGAUCGAAUUUUAGUCUCCUAUACUAUAUAUCUCAUUAAUUUCCAUUAGAAGCUAUCAGAAUUUCAUCUGACUUUUUGGCUCAGUCUAGGCAUCUAAAUAUGCACUCCAUAUUAUCCAAUGUCAUAAUAUACGAGCCAUAAAAGCCUGGUGGAUUAAAUAUGGUAUAAAAAC